UACGUAGGGUGCGAGCGUUAAUCGGAAUUACUGGGCGUAAAGCGUGCGCAGGCGGUUUUGUAAGACAGACGUGAAAGCCCCGGGCUUAACCUGGGAACGGCGUUUGUGACUGCAAGACUAGAGUAUGGCAGAGGGGGUAGAAUUCCACGUGUAGCAGUGAAAUGCGUAGAGAUGUGGAGGAAUACCGAUGGCGAAGGCAGCCCCCUGGGUCAAUACUGACGCUCAUGCACGAAAGCGUGGGAGCAAACAGG
This 251-nucleotide ribosomal RNA is filed under the name uncultured bacterium. Its description in RNAcentral is "partial 16S ribosomal RNA". It matches the Rfam family "Bacterial small subunit ribosomal RNA", at positions 524 to 776 of the family's 1533-position model. The record is from RNAcentral.